RNAcentral lists this ribosomal RNA (253 nucleotides) under uncultured bacterium. RNAcentral describes it as "partial 16S ribosomal RNA". It matches the Rfam family "Bacterial small subunit ribosomal RNA", at positions 524 to 776 of the family's 1533-position model. The record is from RNAcentral.
UACAGAGGUCUCGAGCGUUAAUCGGAUUCAUUGGGCUUAAAGCGUACGUAGGCGGAUGUGCAGGCAUCGUGUGAAAUCCCCUGGCUCAACCAGGGAACUGCUCGGUGAACCGCACGUCUUGAGGCAAGUAGAGGCUGUCGGAACGAUAGGUGGAGCGGUGAAAUGCGUAGAUAUCUAUCGGAACGCCGAAGGUGAAAACAGGCAGCUGGGCUUGAUCUGACGCUGAGGCACGAAAGCGUGGGGAGCGAACGGG